GAUGAACGCUAGCGGCAGGCCUAACACAUGCAAGUCGAGGGGCAGCACAGAAACAGCAAUGUUUUGGUGGCGACCGGCGGACGGGUGCGUAACGCGUAUGCAACCUACCUUUAACAGGGGGAUAACGGAGAGAAAUUUCCACUAAUACCCCAUAACAUCGAUCAAGGCAUCUUGAUUGGUUGAAAACUCCGGUGGUUAAAGAUGGGGAUGCGUGGUAUUAGGUAGUUGGUGAGGUAAUGGCUCACCAAGCCUACGAUACAUAGGGGGACUGAGAGGUUAGCCCCCCACACUGGUACUGAGACACGGACCAGACUCCUACGGGAGGCAGCAGUGAGGAAUAUUGGUCAAUGGGGGCAACCCUGAACCAGCCAUGCCGCGUGCAGGAAGACGGCUCUAUGAGUUGUAAACUGCUUUUAAACAGGGAUAAAGCACAGUAUGUAUACUGUGUUGAAGGUACUGUAAGAAUAAGGAUCGGCCAACUCCGUGCCAGCCGCCGCAGUAA
Molecule: ribosomal RNA, 502 nt
Filed under: uncultured bacterium
Lineage: Bacteria
Description: partial 16S ribosomal RNA
Rfam family: Bacterial small subunit ribosomal RNA
Source: RNAcentral